This 484-nucleotide ribosomal RNA is filed under the name uncultured bacterium. RNAcentral describes it as "partial 16S ribosomal RNA". It matches the Rfam family "Bacterial small subunit ribosomal RNA", at positions 30 to 507 of the family's 1533-position model. The record is from RNAcentral.
AUUGAACGCUGGCGGCAGGCCUAACACAUGCAAGUCGAGCGGAUGAAGGGAGCUUGCUCCUGGAUUCAGCGGCGGACGGGUGAGUAAUGCCUAGGAAUCUGCCUGGUAGUGGGGGAUAACGUCCAGAAACGGGCGCUAAUACCGCAUACGUCCUGAGGGAGAAAGGGGGGGAUCUUCGGACCUCACGCUAUCAGAUGAGCCUAGGUCGGAUUAGCUAGUUGGUGGGGUAAAGGCCUACCAAGGCGACGAUCCGUAACUGGUCUGAGAGGAUAAUCAGUCACACUGGAACUGAGACACGGUCCAGACUCCUACGGGAGGCAGCAGUGGGGAAUAUUGGACAAUGGGCGAAAGCCUGAUCCAGCCAUGCCGCGUGUGUGAAGAAGGUCUUCGGAUUGUAAAGCACUUUAAGUUGGGAGGAAGGGCAGUAAGUUAAUACCUUGCUGUUUUGACGUUACCAACAGAAUAAGCACCGGCUAACUUCGUG